Molecule: ribosomal RNA, 440 nt
Filed under: uncultured bacterium
Lineage: Bacteria
Description: partial 16S ribosomal RNA
Rfam family: Bacterial small subunit ribosomal RNA
Source: RNAcentral
CCUACGGGUGGCAGCAGUGGGGAAUAUUGCACAAUGGGGGAAACCCUGAUGCAGCGACGCCGCGUGAGUGAAGAAGGACUUCGGUAUGUAAAGCUCUUUCAGCAGGGAAGAAAAUGAUGGUAUUUGUAUCCGCAGCGACGGCUAACUACGGGCCAGCAGCCGCGGUAAUACGCAGGGGGCAAGCGUUAUCCGGAUUUACUGGGGGUAAAGGGAGCGUAGACGGCAGCACAUGUCUGGAGUGAAAUGCCGGGGCUUAACCCCGGUACUGCUUUGGAAACUGUGCGGCUAGAGUGCAGGAGAGGUGAGUGGAAUUCCUGGUGUAGCGGUGAAAUGCGUAGAUAUUAGGAGGAACACCAGUGGCGAAGGCGGCUUACUGGACAGUAACUGACGUUGAGGCGCGAAAGCGUGGGGAGCAAACAGGAUUAGAUACCCGGGUAGUC